Molecule: ribosomal RNA, 428 nt
Filed under: uncultured bacterium
Lineage: Bacteria
Description: bacterial SSU rRNA
Rfam family: Bacterial small subunit ribosomal RNA
Source: RNAcentral
GUGGGGAAUAUUGGGCAAUGGGCGCAAGCCUGACCCAGCAACGCCGCGUGAAGGAAGAAGGCUUUCGGGUUGUAAACUUCUUUUAUGAGGGACGAAGGAAGUGACGGUACCUCAUGAAUAAGCUCCGGCUAACUACGUGCCAGCAGCCGCGGUAAUACGUAGGGAGCGAGCGUUAUCCGGAUUUACUGGGUGUAAAGGGCGUGUAGGCGGGGAAGCAAGUCAGAUGUGAAAACCAGUGGCUCAACCACUGGCCUGCAUUUGAAACUGUUUUUCUUGAGUGAUGGAGAGGCAGGCGGAAUUCCGUGUGUAGCGGUGAAAUGCGUAGAUAUACGGAGGAACACCAGUGGCGAAGGCGGCCUGCUGGACAUUAACUGACGCUGAGGCGCGAAAGCGUGGGGAGCAAACAGGAUUAGAAACCCCAGUAGUCC